RNAcentral lists this ribosomal RNA (274 nucleotides) under uncultured bacterium. RNAcentral describes it as "partial 16S ribosomal RNA". It matches the Rfam family "Bacterial small subunit ribosomal RNA", at positions 523 to 796 of the family's 1533-position model. The record is from RNAcentral.
AUACGGAGGGUGCAAACGUUGCUCGGAAUUAUUGGGCGUAAAGCGCGUGUAGGCGGUCGGCUAAGUCGGAUGUGAAAGCCCCGGGCUCAACCCGGGAAGUGCGUCCGAUACUGGCAGACUUGAGUACGGGAGAGGGUAGCGGAAUUCCCGGUGUAGAGGUGAAAUUCGUAGAUAUCGGGAGGAACACCAGUGGCGAAGGCGGCUACCUGGACCGAUUCUGACGCUGAGACGCGAAAGCGUGGGGAGCAAACAGGAUUAGAAACCCGAGUAGUCC